Molecule: ribosomal RNA, 468 nt
Filed under: uncultured bacterium
Lineage: Bacteria
Description: partial 16S ribosomal RNA
Rfam family: Bacterial small subunit ribosomal RNA
Source: RNAcentral
GACGAACGCUGGCGGCGUGCUUAACACAUGCAAGUCGAACGGAAAGGCCCUGCUUUUGUGGGGUGCUCGAUUGGCGAACGGGUGAGUAACACGUGAGUAACCUGCCCUUGACUUUGGGAUAACUUCAGGAAACUGGGUCUAAUACACGAUAGGAGCUCCUGCUGCAUGGUGGGGGUUGGAAAGUGUCGGCGGUUGGGGAUGGACUCGCGGCUUAUCAGCUUGUUGGUGGGGUAGUGGCUUACCACGGCUUUGACGGGUAGCCGGCCUGAGAGGGUGACCGGGCACAUUGCUACUGAGAUAGGGCCCAGACUCCUACGGGAGGCAGCAGGCGAGAAUAUUGCACAAUGGGCGGAAGCCUGAUGCAGCAACGCCGCGUGCGGAAAGACGGCCUUCGGGUUGUAAACCGCUUUCGCCUGUGACGAAGAGUGAGUGACGGUAAUGGGUAAAGAAGCAACGGCUAACUACGUG